RNAcentral lists this non-coding RNA (19 nucleotides) under Arabidopsis thaliana (thale cress). The record is from RNAcentral. Lineage: Eukaryota; Viridiplantae; Streptophyta; Magnoliopsida; Brassicales; Brassicaceae.
UCGAGUGGCUGCUCGAGUG